Long non-coding RNA from Oncorhynchus kisutch (coho salmon), 1655 nucleotides. RefSeq lists it as uncharacterized. The record is from RefSeq and is a predicted model, not a curated record. The transcript has 5 exons. NCBI's taxonomy places the organism in Eukaryota, Metazoa, Chordata, Actinopteri, Salmoniformes, Salmonidae.
GUACUUGCGAUUCUCACCACCAUUGAUGCAGAAUGCUGAAAUCAAACGGAAGUACAAAGGGCGGGACUUCCGUCGCGCAAGGCGGAGGAAUUUAAACGGGACACAGGAAGAGAAAAUAUUGUUUCCCUUUUUUUUUAGCUUAGCAUCUCGUGCAAACUAAUCCUACUUUUUUCAGAAAUAUUACUUCCAAUGACAAAAUUGGGUUAAUGUGAGAAGACCUUUUCGGCAUACUUUGCUAGCGCCAGCGUCUUGUUACUGAAGCUCAACAGAACCUACAGAAUCUACCUGUGAAUCCAGUCUAAAUUCCUGUCAAUCAUGAGGUCCUUGGCUGUAGCUGUAAUGCUGUGUGCACUGCUGCCACUGUUCCAUGCUGGCUGCUGGUUUGAACAAGCUAAACCAGGCAUGAGGCAGUGUCUUUACGACAAGGAUGGGACGUUGCAUGAUAUCGGGUCCCGCUGGAAGACCAGUGAUUGCAUGAACUGCUAUUGUCAAGCCAACGGGGACAUGCAAUGCUGUCAGGCGUAUUCUGAGCCCACAAGAUUUCCUGAUGAUUGCAUGAUGGAGUUUGACCAAAAGGCAUGUAAAUACAACGUGUUCAAGAAGACCGACCGCUCCACCUCAUGCCCCAUCUACGGCGGUAAGGGGAAGUGAUGGCUUUUCUUCCCCCGUGCUCUCAGGGAAUGAAGAAUGAAAGGGAAAAGUACAGUAUUUGUUUUAUAGAUUUAAUUGACAUAAUUGUUAGCUUAGCUCAGCCAUACUGUCGGGUAACUUUCUGUUACUGUAACGAUUGAAAAGCCAUACUGUAAUGUGUAUCAUUGAAGAUCUGUUAUCAUCUGCUCUGACUGUGUCAUGAGAAGAACCUGGGUUCAAAUACUAUCUGAACCUGUGAGCGUUUGAUCUGUCCUGCCUGGAGUGCCAGAUGGGCGGAGUUUGCUAUUUUGGGGCAAUUCUAUUGGUUCACAAAGCCAGUGUUUCCUGACCCUGGACCUCAAGUACCCCCAACAGUACAAAUGUUUACUGUAAACCUGGACAAGCACACUUGAUUCAACUUGUUAACUAAUCAUAAAGCCUUCAAUGAGUUGACUGAGUUGUUUGUCCAGGGCUAAAGUUUAAAAUGUGUUAUGUUGGGGGUACUGGAGGACCAGGGUUGGGCUGUUGGGGGUACUGGAGGACCAGGGUUGGGCUGUUGGGGGUACUGGAGGACCAGGGUUGGGCUGUUGGGGGUACUGGAGGACCAGGGUUGGGCUGUUGGGGGUACUGGAGGACCAGGGUUGGGCGUACUGGAGGACCAGGGUUGGGCUGUUGGGCGUACUGGAGGACCAGGGUUGGGCUGUUGGGCGUACUGGAGGACCAGGGUUGGGAAACACUGCAUUUAGCCAUGCAAGCUCAAUCAAUCAAGAUAAAGUAUUUGAAAUUAUUUCAAAUAUUAUUUGAACCCAGGUCUGUUAAAGACACACAAGCUGCAUAAUGUACAUGAGGUGUUGAUAUAUAACCUUGAAUAAUAAUACUGUUUAUCAAUGCUUUCUUAUUAGUCCAUAGCCAUAAAGGUGGAUAUUGAUAUGCUGUUUCUCCUGUGGUUCCCGACCCACAAUGCAGUUGCUUUGGAUACAUUUAUACAUACAUUCAUUUAAUGUCAAUAAAUCUAUGCAAUCAAG